This is a long non-coding RNA of Nicotiana tabacum (common tobacco), 934 nucleotides long. RefSeq lists it as uncharacterized. Lineage: Eukaryota; Viridiplantae; Streptophyta; Magnoliopsida; Solanales; Solanaceae. The record is from RefSeq and is a predicted model, not a curated record.
GAGGUUUCUUAAAAUAAACCCUGCAAUAAAAUCAUUUGCCUAAUUUUUAGUUGGCAGGCCUUUAUUUCCCCUUUCCCUCUCAUUUCUUUUUCCCAGCCCACGUUCCCUCUCAUUCUACUAAACUCUACAGAUCUAACCAAACCCUAACUCCCUCUCUUUUUCAAUCAAAGUUUCGGGGUUCUCAGAAUUCCUACUCAUCUCAAGUCAGCCAAUGGUUGGUUCUGAUUCAGAUAUGGAGUAUGGAUUCGUGUGCUCAGACGAGGUGCCCGAUGAACAUGACUUUGAUGUUGAGAACCGAUACUACAACUCCAGAGAUACUUAUGGAUAUAUGUUCAUGGCAGAUCCUUAGGACAUGUGCUCGUAAGAAUGUUGUCGUGAUUGAAUCAAGGUCAACGUUUGCAUAUAUGGUUUUUAUAUCUUGUAUCUUAAUGGACAACCACUUUUUAAGAGCAACUUAACGUUUGCAGAAGAUUCACCUGAAAUCAAGGAAGGUUGUGGACAAGCUAGAAUAAAGGUAUUGAGAAAUUGAGAAGUCGUUGGGAGAAAAGAUGAUGUUAGAUAUCCUAGUUGCUAAAUGGAGGUCAAUCAAAGCAAUUCCAUCAGCAAAUCUAUAGCAAAUCUAUCAAAUGAGUCGGGAAAUUUUCUUUCGCUUCCAAAACAAGUGAAAAGAACUCACAAGAAAGGAGAUCGAUGCAACAGUGAUUUGAUCAUGUUGUACUUUUUUAGACAAUCAUAUUUUUAUUGUAGGAUAUUAUCAUCCACUAACAAGCAUAACAUUUUAAUAGCGAAUGUAUAAAUGAGUCAUCAAAGAAGACUUGGAUUUUCACAAGCUAUUUGUUUACUAGCUUCUUGAUAAAAAGGACCUUCUGGCUACUUAAUAUGUGUUAUUGCCUAAUCACAGUUGUUUGUUAUACAAGUGGGUGCCUUGUUUCUA